CGGGUGCACUGAUCCAGCCGGGCCUUUCCCUCUGUGGAACCCCAUGGCCUUCACUGGCUGUGGUGGGGAAACAGGACUUUUACUUUGAAAAAAUUAGAGUGCUCCAGGCAGGCCUAUGCUCGAAUACAUUAGCAUGGAAUAAUAGAAUAGGACGUGUGGUUCUAUUUUGUUGGUUUCUAGGACCGCCGUAAUGAUUAAUAGGGACAGUCGGGGGCAUCAGUAUUCAAUUGUCAGAGGUGAAAUUCUUGGAUCUAUUGAAGACUAACUACUGCGAAAGCAUUUGCCAAGGAUGUUUUCAUUGAUAAGGAACGAAAGUUAGGGGACCGAAGACGAUCAGAUACCGUCGUAGUCUUAACUAUAAACUAUGCCGACUAGGGAUCGGACGAUGUUAUUCUUUGACGCGUUCGGCACCUUUCGAGAAAUCAAAGUGCUUGGGCUCCAGGGGGAGUAUGGUCGCAAGGCUGAAACUUAAAGAAAUUGACGGAAGGGCACCACCAGGGGUGGAACCUGCGGCUUAAUUUGACUCAACACGGGGAAACUCACCAGGUCCAGACACAGUGAGGAUUGACAGAUUGAGAGCUCUUUCUUGAUUCUGUGGGUGGUGGUGCAUGGCCGUUCUUAGUUGGUGGAGUGAUUUGUCUGCUUAAUUGCGAUAACGAACGAGACCUUAACCUGCUAAAUAGCCCGUACUGCUUUGGCAGUUCGCCGGCUUCUUAGAGGGACUAUCGG
RNAcentral lists this ribosomal RNA (729 nucleotides) under uncultured eukaryote. Its description in RNAcentral is "SSU rRNA". It matches the Rfam family "Eukaryotic small subunit ribosomal RNA", at positions 670 to 1426 of the family's 1831-position model. The record is from RNAcentral.